Molecule: non-coding RNA, 1603 nt
Organism: Anas platyrhynchos (mallard)
Lineage: Eukaryota; Metazoa; Chordata; Aves; Anseriformes; Anatidae
Source: RefSeq, a predicted model, not a curated record
CAGCAGCAAAGCCAUGCAGCGGGACUUCAAGCAGAAACCUUAGCAGUGUGCCUGAGAGCAUCCUGUUAACCUGCUGACUUAUGGAGGAAAAAAAAGGAAAACACCGUUUUCAAAAUCUCCCUACUUAUUUACCAAGGUCUGCAGAAGUUGAGGAUGUGUGAAGCAGUCCUGGAACCAGAUGAAGGCACGCAGAGGCCAGCAUGGCAGAUGUCAAAAAGGUUGAGCCUGGAGCUUAUCACAUCAUAUCCUGUCAGCAAAGCUAGCCUUUAUCCAAAUGCAAAUCUAGUUUGACGUCCUGGAGUGAAACUCUACCCAGCUGCCACAGUGGGAGCGAUGCCAUUAACUUGAGCAGGUCAAGGGCUCAAUUCCUACUGAUGAUCCCUGGUGAGGCUUUGACUGCACUUCCAGACCCUUUUCUCCCUGGCUAUUGCUUCUAACAUGAGACUGAAGAUGGUCAAGCUCAGGUAAAAUUAGGGUGAAAGGCUGGGAGCAGCUGCUGUCCACCUGACCUGUCAUGCUCAAACACUGUCAUGUGAGUCAGGGUAUCACAGAAGCAAACCUUUCCCGAUAUUAGUGGGCACUAUCCUGCCUUCACAGUGUGCGAAUAUGAGAUGUGGCCUCUGGUCUGUGCUAAGAUGGAGGUAAAGGAGAGGGAGGAGGGGAAAAAAAAAGUACUGGCCUUUGGUUCUUAAAAAAAAUAUCUUUAUAUUUCCUUCUGUCAUUAUCUCAGAUCUAGUUUUGACUUAAUUUUGGGGCUGAAACUGGACUAGCUGCUUUUGCAGAGCACCGGAUUAAUGGUAACAAACAGCUGUGUAGCACUAGAUGUCAGUAGUGCUUCACCAGUUUCUGGGUCAGACCUUACAGGCUUUAUUUGCUGCUGGCCUUUGGCACAUGGAUGUGCUCUCCUUGCUGCAUGUCUUAGAGAACAUACACGAACAAAUAUGUUGUACUCCAAAAAGGCAUUGUGUCUUAUGGUGGUGGUGUUGGUGAAUAGCCAGUUUAGGCCACCAACUUCCAAAAAUGAGAUGUUUUUGCCAUUUCAGUAGAUUAUGCACGGGCUUUUUUGUUAGUGGUCAGUCUGCUUAAAAAAAAAUAAAUUGCAUUUGGGCUUGUAACUUGGCAAAUAACACUCUUGUAGCUGCUCAUUAAAACUCAGAUAGCAGUUUAAAAAGUGUUUCAAACACCUGCAAAGAACCUCUUUUUAAAGAGAUACCCUUUGUCUAAAAACCCUGGUUUAGCUUCAUGCCUUUGUUAAACUUAAACUAGAGCCACUCUCAGCCAGAUGCUUUAAUGAAGUGUCCUUUUUCAAGCCUCAGGAAGGCAGGCAUUGAAAGGAAGUGCCAUAAUUGUCUGAAGGACUUUUGCAUUCACUUCACAAUGCUUUAAAGCAGGACACACAUUCAGGGUGAUCUUAGGCCAUUUCUUGGUUCAUACAAAAAAAAAGACAGCUAGUGUUGUGACAGAAGCCAGAUAAUGCAGGUACUUCUUGCUUCUCCCUAACAAGUAUUAAAUGUGUUAAUGUCAAAUUUCUCAAAUGAAAUCUUUGUUAUUGAAGAGUUCCUGGAGAUGGUAGUUACUUCCCAGGGGAACAGUAUUGUAAAGA